GAUGAACGCUGGCGGCGUGCCUAACACAUGCAAGUCGAGCGAUUCUYUUYGGAGAAGAGCGGCGGACGGGUGAGUAACGCGUGGGUAACCUACCCUGUACACACGGAUAACAUACCGAAAGGUAUGCUAAUACGGGAUGAUAUAUAGAAAUCGCAUGAUUUUUAUAUCAAAGAUUUAUCGGUACAGGAUGGACCCGCGUMUGAUUAGCUUGUUGGCGGGGUAMCGGCCCACCAAGGCGACGAUCAGUAGCCGACCUGAGAGGGUGAUCGGCCACAWGGAACUGAGACACGGUCCAAACUCCUACGGGAGGCAGCAGUGGGGAAUAWUGCCACMAAUGGGCWGCSAAGCCYCG
This 352-nucleotide ribosomal RNA is filed under the name uncultured bacterium. Its description in RNAcentral is "partial 16S ribosomal RNA". It matches the Rfam family "Bacterial small subunit ribosomal RNA", at positions 28 to 401 of the family's 1533-position model. The record is from RNAcentral.